GGAGACACAAGGAUUCUUUGAAUUCUCUGAAGAUGCCCAGUGGCUGACAUGCCCAAGACUAGCGGGAAAUCUUGUAUUUGCAAUGUUAUAAAACAAAUUGAACCGAUGUAGAACUGAUUGAGACAUGCUACAUUCCGUUUUAACGUGCUGUAUUAUGGUGCAGACACUAUUUCUGAUGACAGAACCACUUUAAAUGAGCUCACAGAACAGAGAAC
This is a non-coding RNA of Pelobates cultripes (western spadefoot toad), 215 nucleotides long. The record is from the annotation of a GenBank genome assembly. NCBI's taxonomy places the organism in Eukaryota, Metazoa, Chordata, Amphibia, Anura, Pelobatidae.